GACGAACGCUGGCGGCGUGCUUAACACAUGCAAGUCGAACGGAAAGGCCUGCUUUCCCUUGUGGAUUGCGGGUACUCGAGUGGCGAACGGGUGAGUAACACGUGAGUGAUCUGCCCCCAACUUGGGUAUAAGCCUGGGAAACUGGGUCUAAUUCCCGAUAGGACUGCAGGGUGGUGCCUGUGGUGGAAAACGAUUUUCUAGUGGUUGGGGAUGAGCUCGCGGCCUAUCAGCUUGUUGGUGGGGUAAUGGCCUACCAAGGCGGCGACGGGUAGCCGGCCUGGGAGGGUGAACGGCCACAUUGGGACUGAGAGACGGCCCAGACUCCUACGGGAGGCAGCAGUGGGGAAUAUGGCACAAUGGGCGGAAGCCUGAUGCAGCGACGCCGCGGGGGGGAUGACGGCCUUCGGGUUGUAAACUCCUUUCGACCGCGAGGAAGCCACCUGGUUGGAAGGGUGGUGACGGUAGUGGUAGAAGAAGCACCGGCUAACUACGUG
This 494-nucleotide ribosomal RNA is filed under the name uncultured bacterium. Its description in RNAcentral is "partial 16S ribosomal RNA". It matches the Rfam family "Bacterial small subunit ribosomal RNA", at positions 28 to 507 of the family's 1533-position model. The record is from RNAcentral.